Haliotis rubra (blacklip abalone) is the source of this 269-nucleotide long non-coding RNA. RefSeq lists it as uncharacterized. Lineage: Eukaryota; Metazoa; Mollusca; Gastropoda; Lepetellida; Haliotidae. The record is from RefSeq and is a predicted model, not a curated record. The transcript has 3 exons.
AACAAGCACUGGUAAAUGGUGUGGUGAACACAGCGAUGGCUUCAUCAGUUCUGGACAUACCAUUACCUCCAGGUUCCACUCUGGGAUACAUAACAAUUACAGAGGAAUACAAUUAAUUAUCAAGGCGGGACACUUUAAUGCCUCACGGAUGACGAGCCUUUCAGCUGAAGCAUUUACAUACAAGUUUAUUUCCUCCCCAAACUAUCCAUUUUUCUACCAAGCAAUAUUGAGACUACGUGGAAGAUCGAUGCAGGUAAAUCCUAUCGGGU